This 386-nucleotide transfer-messenger RNA is filed under the name Helicobacter pylori. RNAcentral's name for it is "Standard tmRNA". It matches the Rfam family "transfer-messenger RNA". Rfam says of the family: Bacterial tmRNA, also known as 10Sa RNA or SsrA, is named for its dual tRNA and mRNA-like properties. Its role is to liberate the mRNA from a stalled ribosome. To accomplish this part of the tmRNA is used as a reading frame that ends in a translation stop signal. The record is from RNAcentral. Lineage: Bacteria; Pseudomonadati; Campylobacterota; Epsilonproteobacteria; Campylobacterales; Helicobacteraceae.
GGGGCUGACUUGGAUUUCGACAGAUUUCUUGUCGCACAGAUAGCAUGCCAAGCGCUACUUGUAAAACAGCAACAAAAAUAACUGUAAACAACACAGAUUACGCUCCAGCUUACGCUAAAGCUGCGUGAGUUAAUCUCCUUUUGGAGCUGGACUGAUUAGAAUUUCUAGCGUUUUAAUCACUCCAUAACCUUAAGCUAGACGCUUUUAAAAGGUGGUUCGCCUUUUAAACUAAGAAACAAGAACUCUUGAAACUACCUCAAGGUUUUAGAAAGUUGGACCAGAGCUAGUUUUAAGGCUAAAAAACCAACCAAUUUUCUAAGCAUUGUAGAAGUUUGUGUUUAGGGCAAGAUUUUUGGACUGGGGUUCGAUUCCCCACAGCUCCACCA